CAUGCAAGUCGAACGAGCGAGAGAGAGCUUGCUCUCUCGAGCGAGUGGCGAACGGGUGAGUAACGCGUGAGGAACCUGCCUCAAAGAGGGGGACAACAGUUGGAAACGACUGCUAAUACCGCGUAAGCCCACGACCCGGCAUCGGGUAGAGGGAAAAGGAGCAAUCCGCUUUGAGAUGGCCUCGCGUCCGAUUAGCUAGUUGGUGAGGUAACGGCCCACCAAGGCGACGAUCGGUAGCCGGACUGAGAGGUUGAACGGCCACAUUGGGACUGAGACACGGCCCAGACUCCUACGGGAGGCAGCAGUGGGGAAUAUUGCACAAUGGGGGAAACCCUGAUGCAGCGACGCCGCGUGGAGGAAGAAGGUCUUCGGAUUGUAAACUCCUGUUGUUGAGGAAGAUAAUGACGGUACUCAACAAGGAAGUGACGGCUAACUACGUGCCAGCAGCCGCGGUAAAACGUAGGUCACAAGCGUUGUCCGGAAUUACUGGGUGUAAAGGGAGCGCAGGCGGGAAGACAAGUUGGAAGUGAAAUCCAUGGGCUCAACCCAUGAACUGCUUUCAAAACUGUUUUUCUUGAGUAGUGCAGAGGUAGGCGGAAUUCCCGGUGUAGCGGUGGAAUGCGUAGAUAUCGGGAGGAACACCAGUGGCGAA
This 652-nucleotide ribosomal RNA is filed under the name uncultured bacterium. Its description in RNAcentral is "bacterial SSU rRNA". It matches the Rfam family "Bacterial small subunit ribosomal RNA", at positions 54 to 719 of the family's 1533-position model. The record is from RNAcentral.